Molecule: long non-coding RNA, 210 nt
Filed under: Zostera marina
Lineage: Eukaryota; Viridiplantae; Streptophyta; Magnoliopsida; Alismatales; Zosteraceae
Description: long non-coding RNA (ZMAR_LNC001404)
Source: RNAcentral
CAAACCAGACAAUAGUUGGCAAAAGCGCGUGACAAACCUCCGUGGAAGCAUAGAUACAACCUCGCAGGCGUGGAGGGGGGGAGUACUGGUGAGAGAGGAUCGUACAUCCAGGGACACCACCAGAAAUCCACAUCCCAGCACGCAAAGAGGGGGGGAAUACUGAUAGUACAGGGUCCGACACACAGACCAUAAUACUAAAAGACGUAUCCC